RNAcentral lists this long non-coding RNA (769 nucleotides) under Homo sapiens (human). RNAcentral's name for it is "non-protein coding STARD13-AS:17". The record is from RNAcentral. Lineage: Eukaryota; Metazoa; Chordata; Mammalia; Primates; Hominidae.
GGAAAACUUGGGGGAGAAUGGGCAUCCCACCCCAGCACUUUCUAGGAAGAAGGGCAGCAUUUUGAAGGGCUGGAAGUAGAGGAAGGAGGUUGCGGGUAGAAGACUCCAUACUUUCUGUGACGCCUAUUCCUUAGCUUGUGAUGAAUGUUUUCUCAGUAUCCUAUGCUGAAAACAGGUAGAUACUAAUAUCGAUCUUCAAGGGAGGGCUGUUGAGUAUUGAAUAAGACAAAAACAUGGAAGCAAUCAGCACCAUGCUGGAAUCAAGGCUAUCUGUAAUCACAGGGCUAUUUGAAAAAGAGAAGAAAAGGUGUCUUGAAAUUCAACCAACAUGUUUCAAUUAUUUGCUCCUAAGAACAACAGAAGUUUCAACAUUCUGCCAACAGAGUAACUCCUGGAAGAUUGGCACAGAAGAAGGCACAAGGUAAAUACCCAUCUCUGUACACCCCGUGCUACCAUGUCAUGUGCUGCUCCAGGCAACUCCAAUGGAUUGGCCACCCUGGCCAAUGUGUUCUAGUAUGUUACGUUUAUGUUCCCCUGCUUUCUACAAUCCUGUUCAAAGAGUUGCUGACUUAACCACAGAGAGGAUUCCAGAACCUGAGACACAGAAUAAACUUGAGCAAUCAUAGUCCAUCCACUUCAUUGUCUCAUCAAAAACCAAAGGUCCAGUGAAGCUCUGGAACUCAACGCUGUAAAGGAGCGAAGGAGCUUCUAUACAGAGCCUGGAUGCCUGUCUCCUUAUCCUACUUCAGUGGACUUGACUGCAAUCCGG